RNAcentral lists this ribosomal RNA (502 nucleotides) under uncultured bacterium. RNAcentral describes it as "partial 16S ribosomal RNA". It matches the Rfam family "Bacterial small subunit ribosomal RNA", at positions 28 to 507 of the family's 1533-position model. The record is from RNAcentral.
GACGAACGCUGGCGGCGUGCUUAACACAUGCAAGUCGAAUGGUGAAGGGGUCUGCUUUUGUGGGCCCUGGAUGAGUGGCGAACGGGUGAGUAACACGUGAGUAACCUGCCCCCUUCUUCUGGAUAACCGCAUGAAAGUGUGGCUAAUACGGGAUAUUCUGGGUCUGUCGCAUGAUGGGUCUGGGAAAGAUUGCGCCUUUGGGUGUUUUUGGUGGGGGAUGGGCUCGCGGCCUAUCAGCUUGUUGGUGGGGUGAUGGCCUACCAAGGCGGUGACGGGUAGCCGGCCUGAGAGGGUGGACGGUCACACUGGGACUGAGACACGGCCCAGACUCCUACGGGAGGCAGCAGUGGGGAAUAUUGCACAAUGGGCGCAAGCCUGAUGCAGCGACGCCGCGUGAGGGAUGGAGGCCUUCGGGUUGUAAACCUCUUUCGCCAGUGAAGCAGGCCUGCUCCUUGUGGGUGGGUUGACGGUAGCUGGAUAAGAAGCGCCGGCUAACUACGUG